GUUUAUGGCCACACUGCCCUGAAUGCACCUCAUCUCGUCUGCUAAGCAGGGUCAGGCCUGGUUAGUACUUGGUGGGAGUAUUAGGCUGCCUGGGUG
RNAcentral lists this ribosomal RNA (96 nucleotides) under Jaculus jaculus (lesser Egyptian jerboa). Lineage: Eukaryota; Metazoa; Chordata; Mammalia; Rodentia; Dipodidae. The record is from RNAcentral.